AGUGAACGCUGGCGGUAGGCCUAACACAUGCAAGUCGAACGGCAGCACAGUAAGAGCUUGCUCUUACGGGUGGCGAGUGGCGGACGGGUGAGGAAUACAUCCGAAUCUACUUUUUCGUGGGGGAUAACGUAGGCGAACUUACGCUAAUCCCGCAUACGACCUACGGGUGAAAGCAGGAGAUCUUCGGCCCUUGGACGAUCGAAUGAGCCGAUGUCGGAUUAGCUAGUUGGCGGGGUAAAGGCCCACCAAGGCGACGAUCCGUAGCUGGUCUGAGAGGAUGAUCAGCCACACUGGAACUGAGACACGGUCCAGACUCCUACGGGAGGCAGCAGUGGGGAAUAUUGGACAAUGGGCGCAAGCCUGAUCCAGCUAUACCGCGUGGGUGAAGAAGGCCUUCGGGUUGUAAAGCCCUUUUGUUGGGAAAGAAAAGCAGCAGGUUAAUACCCCGCUGUUCUGACGGUACCCAAAGAAUAAGCACCGGCUAACUUCGUG
This 492-nucleotide ribosomal RNA is filed under the name uncultured bacterium. RNAcentral describes it as "partial 16S ribosomal RNA". It matches the Rfam family "Bacterial small subunit ribosomal RNA", at positions 29 to 507 of the family's 1533-position model. The record is from RNAcentral.